CUCUUGCUUAUCAUUCCAGAAUUUGGGAUUGUUGCAAGUCUAAGCCACAGAGUGAGAUUCCCACCCCAUCCCUGACUUCCUAAAACAAAACCAACAAACAAACAAAACCACCACCAUCCACAGGAUAGCUCAGUGGGUGUUAAAAUGCUUGUUCUUGAUUCCUGAAUGUUCUCUACCCUCCUAUUACAUAGAUACACACACACACACACACACACACACACACACACACACACACACACAGUGUCUUGAAGAUCUUUCCUAGGAGCGGGAAUCUAUUAAAAGCCCUUGUUCUCUACUUUUUGCAAUUAAUACAGUUGAAGGCUGAAUCUUUUCAGGGAGCUAGGUCUCCCUGUUAGAAACCUCUACCCUCUACUAUCUACUGCACUUUGCUGGUAGGGUGUCUGUAACUAUCUCACCCUGGACUAUAAGCUCCAUCAGGACAGGAAAUGUAUUUGCCCAAUCUUCAGGAUCAAGGACAACAUGCAACCUACUACAAGGGCUGAGCCUGUUUAAGGGAUAGAUCUCUCCAGCAUCAGUGACACGUGAUGCUAACAAGUAGGGUAAUCCAAGUUGGAAAUGAGAGUGUACGUGUAAUGAAACAGAAUUGCCUUUUUGCCCUUUAAAGAGCAAAAGCAUGACAGAGCCAGGCUUCAGCUUACUUCUCAUGCUCAUUCAUUCUUACACAACUGGAUGUCUGCAUUCAGGGAAGCAGCACAGCAGAUGGGGAUUGCCAACUUAUUUUCAAACCAUGCUCCCACACAUAUUAAUAAUUGCUCAAAAUUUACAGUAGCAUCUGUUCAAGGCUGAAUUGAGCCUGGGCCUCCAUCCUUAUGAAUGGAGUUUAUAUAAGAGAAUGGAGCUCAUACACAGAGGCUGAGCGUGUCUCUGUUUCAGGCAUGUCAAUGCAUAGCCCACCACAUGUGGGCGUGGAGAUCAGUGAGCAGGGCAGGAAAAAAAAAUCAUGAACUUACCUGAGACAUUUUGUGUUUACGGCUGAUGAGUUGUUUUGGCAACUUGAUUGAAGGGCAUCUUUGUAGAUGGCAAUGUCAUGGGCAAUGUCAUGGGACAAGUUAAAACAUUUCAACAAAUGUUAUUGCUAUCCUUGGACUGUUGUCCUGGGAGAAAUAUAAACCUGUAUGUAAACUGAAGUCUUUCGAAGCUAGAAAAUGGGACUUCUAUUCAUAUAGGCAAAUGAAGCAGGCCUACCAGACAAUAAACACAACUUAUGUUCAAAACCAGCACCCUAGAGGCUUGUGGGGCUGAGCCUGGCUCCCAACACUAGCAUCCAUCUACCAGUGACAGAAGUCACACAGGAAAGGCAGAUAUUAGAAUGAGGGGUGGUGGGCAUGAGAAGUCCCACACUUGGUCAAAGUCUCGCUGCUGACAUUUUGUGGGUUGGUAGGAAGAUGUUAAAUGCAAAUACAGAGAGGGGACAAGAGUAGAUUGCAUAUCAUAGGUCAUCCAAGGAGGGUUCCUGGAGCAGCUGGAUAUUUCUGGGAGUACGGCCAGACCAUGAGUGGCCAGAAGCCAUGGCCCAGAAAGAAAAGAGCUGAACCAAUUGAUAGGUCCCCAUCCCUUGGUUAUGUCUGGAACACAGCUCAUCAGAGGAAGGCAGGAGGAUCAAUCUGUUGCCCAGGGAAGCCCAGGGAACCUUUUAAACCAUGACCCAGGGAAGUUCCUGAGAGUCCACAUCUUUAGCCAUGAUUCAUAGGGGAGUUCCUGCUAUGCCCAGAAAAGAAGACUGCAGUAGCAGACAUCAUC
RNAcentral lists this long non-coding RNA (1761 nucleotides) under Mus musculus (house mouse). RNAcentral describes it as "long non-coding RNA chr1:88653084-88654845". The record is from RNAcentral. Lineage: Eukaryota; Metazoa; Chordata; Mammalia; Rodentia; Muridae.